RNAcentral lists this ribosomal RNA (473 nucleotides) under uncultured bacterium. RNAcentral describes it as "bacterial SSU rRNA". It matches the Rfam family "Bacterial small subunit ribosomal RNA", at positions 329 to 794 of the family's 1533-position model. The record is from RNAcentral.
UUCCAGACUCCUACGGGAGGCAGCAGUAGGGAAUUUUCGUCAAUGGAGGGUACUCUGAACGAGCAAUGCCGCGUGAGUGGAGAAGGUCUUCGGAUCGUAAAGCUCUGUUGCAAGAGAAAAACGACAAGCACAGGGAAUGGUGAUUGAGUGAUGGUAUCUUGCGAGGAAGCCCCGGCUAACUACGUGCCAGCAGCCGCGGUAAUACGUAGGGGGCGAGCGUUGUCCGGAAUUACUGGGCGUAAAGAGAGCGUAGGCGGCACUACAAGUCUCAUGUGAAAUACCCGGGCUUAACUUGGGGGUUGCAUGGGAAACUGUAGAGCUUGAGUACAGGAGAGGCAAGCGGAAUUCCUAGUGUAGCGGUGAAAUGCAUAGAUAUUAGGAGGAACACCAGUGGCGAAGGCGGCUUGCUGGACUGAAACUGACGCUGAGGCUCGAAAGCGUGGGGAGCAAACAGGAUUAGAUACCCCUGUAUA